This 429-nucleotide ribosomal RNA is filed under the name Actinomycetes bacterium. RNAcentral describes it as "Actinobacteria bacterium partial 16S ribosomal RNA". It matches the Rfam family "Bacterial small subunit ribosomal RNA", at positions 355 to 776 of the family's 1533-position model. The record is from RNAcentral. Lineage: Bacteria; Bacillati; Actinomycetota; Actinomycetes.
UAGGGAAUUUUCCGCAAUGGGCGAAAGCCUGACGGAGCAACGCCGCGUGAGUGAUGAAGGUCUUCGGAUCGUAAAACUCUGUUAUUAGGGAAGAACAAAUGUGUAAGUAACUAUGCACGUCUUGACGGUACCUAAUCAGAAAGCCACGGCUAACUACGUGCCAGCAGCCGCGGUAAUACGUAGGUGGCAAGCGUUAUCCGGAAUUAUUGGGGGUAAAGCGCGCGUAGGCGGUUUUUUAUGUCUGAUGUGAAAGCCCACGGCUCAACCGGGGAGGGUCAUUGGAAACUGGUAAACUGGGGUGCAGAAGAGGAAAGUGGAAUUCCAUGUGUAGCGGUGAGAUGCGCUGAGAUAUGGAGGAACACCAGUGGCGAAGGCGACGUUCUGGUCUGUAACUGACGCUGAUGUGCGAAAGCGUGGGGAUCAAACAGG